RNAcentral lists this long non-coding RNA (1571 nucleotides) under Malus domestica (apple). RNAcentral's name for it is "long non-coding RNA (MDOM_LNC010733)". The record is from RNAcentral. Lineage: Eukaryota; Viridiplantae; Streptophyta; Magnoliopsida; Rosales; Rosaceae.
UCGGUUGAGGGUAUCUGUCGUACUUCUGCUUUCUUCUCGGGCUCGCUCGGGCAAGCCUUUGUCGGGCAGAUCUUGGUCGGGCAAGACACACUUCGGGCAAGGCUCGUCGGGCAGUUCUGAAAGAGAAGGACAGAGUUAAUUUGAAAGGGUACCUUUGUGGGGCCUUAGGUGUAGGCCUUAAGGCUCACAAUCAAGAUUAACUUUGUCGUGCUCAGGCGUGCCACUGCCAUCUUCAGUAUGGCAGAUGUUGAAUGGGUGUUAAGCUUUGAUUGAAUAUGUAUACGUCCGAGAAACCAAGUUAGAUAUAACAGGUGCCUUUGGGGGGCCUUAGGUAUAGGCCUUGAGGCUUCCUGUCAAACUAAACUAGCGCUUGGAUGUAUCAUAUUUGGUCUUUUAUGGUUGCCAGAGUCUUAUUACUAUUAUACCUUUGAUUAUCUGAAUCCAAGAGGUAGGACGAACCCAAAUGAGUGCCUUUGUAGGGCCUUAGGUAUAGGCCUUGAGGCUUCCCAUCAGAGUUAAUCCUUAUACUCGGACCAACUAGACCGCAACAUGAAAUGAAGCUAAAUAGAUGCCUUCGUGGGGCCUUAGGUGUAGGCCUUGAGGCUUUCUAUCAGAAUUCACUCCAUGCUUAAGCCUUUUCUACGAAUCAAGAUAUAAUAGCAACAAAACGGAGAAAUAGAUUGAUUACUUGCGCCCCAAGUAACUUCGGACUUCUCGCUUAUCAAGGAUUGUCGUGGAUGGGUUGAGUCCACAUAGAGUUCUUUUUUUAUGCCUUGAGGCCAAGGACUUUACUGAUCUUUAAAUUACAUGCCCGCGGGCUUAAGACUUAGAUCUGAUUUGACCUCUGACGCGAUUCAGAUCGGAUUCAAGUGCUGAAGACUCAUUUUCAUUAUGACUUUGCUAGAAAUAACUUGUAUAUAACUGGGAAUAUAUAUAACAUGUUAUUGUGCUUUUGAAAGAAAGAAAAGACAAAGACAGAGCAAAGAUAGUCGGGUAAGUUUGAACCUUAUCGGCCAAGGCUGAACUUCUUACAAAAUCUAUCUUUGUGGCUCUGUCAGAGGUCUGAAAGCUUUUAGAGGGGUUGACGGGGGAGAAGAGGAUACAAAAUGAAUCGAUACCACCAUGAAUAAGGUAGCAGAGCUAUUACAGGGGUUUGGGAAGGUUUAUCCCGAAUGGGAUGAAGGCUUGUGCUGACUACAGCUUCGUUGAAGGCAAAUCUGGCUUGAGCAGAGUUUUGGCUUUUGUUUGUUUGAUUGAGUGUCCUUAAUUCUGUCUUCUCUUCCUCCUUUUAUAGACGACUUCAGCUUGGGUUCCUGUAGCAAUAGCGGUGCCCGAAUGCGGUUUGGUGAUGACUCACUAGCUUUUUUACAUGAAUGCCACCAAUAAAGUACUUUAUUGGGCUAUGUAUUGACUGAAUAGCCUACCCCCUGUGGUCUUUGAGCAGGUAAGCAGGUGGCCUUUGUAACUUGUGCCCAGCCGAAAGCCUCUUUCCUGCCUCCUAAGUUUUCCUCUGGGCCUUGGGUUUGGGCCGACUUUCUCUCUGGCCCAAAGUUCAGAUUUUAUCCCAAACA